AUUGAACGCUGGCGGCAUGCCUUACACAUGCAAAUCGAACGGUAACAGGUCUUCGGAUGCUGACGAGUGGCGAACGGGUGAGUAAUACAUCGGAACGUGCCUAGUAGUGGGGGAUAACUACUCGAAAGAGUGGCUAAUACCGCAUGAGAUCUACGGAUGAAAGCAGGGGAUCGCAAGACCUUGUGCUACUAGAGCGGCCGAUGGCAGAUUAGGUAGUUGGUGGGAUAAAAGCUUACCAAGCCGACGAUCUGUAGCUGGUCUGAGAGGACGAUCAGCGUCAGUGGGACUGCGAAACGGCGCAGACUCCUACGGGAGGCAGCAGUGGGGAAUUUUGGACAAUGGGCGAAAGCCUGAUCCAGCAAUGCCGCGUGCAGGAUGAAGGCCUUCGGGUUGUAAACUGCUUUUGUACGGAACGAAAAGCCCCGGGUUAAUACCCUGGGGUCAUGACGGUACCGUAAGAAUAAGCACCGGCUAACUACGUGCCAGCCGCCGCGGUAA
RNAcentral lists this ribosomal RNA (498 nucleotides) under uncultured bacterium. RNAcentral's name for it is "partial 16S ribosomal RNA". It matches the Rfam family "Bacterial small subunit ribosomal RNA", at positions 30 to 523 of the family's 1533-position model. The record is from RNAcentral.